GAAAUAACUCCGCCUGUAACUCUUCUAGAGUUACUGCCGGCCCCAAGCCCGGGUAAAGGAGGAGGGGUGG
Molecule: non-coding RNA, 70 nt
Filed under: Schistosoma mansoni
Lineage: Eukaryota; Metazoa; Platyhelminthes; Trematoda; Strigeidida; Schistosomatidae
Source: RNAcentral